GACAUUUGAGCUGUGCCUGGAAGGUUGGAGAGGUUUUUCACAGGCAGCAGGGGUUGGGGGAGGGACUUUGCAGGCCCCAGGAAAAAACAAUGGCAAAGAUCCUCAAGAGGGUGAGGGACCAAGCAUGGUCUCAUUUGGGAGAACCCAGAGCCGGCCAGUGUGGCUAGGGGAGAGGGAGUGAGUGAGCUGAGGCUGGAGAGAAAAGUUGAGAUGUGAGCAGAGAGGAUCUUGAACACCAAGCCAAAGAAAGAAUUUUGCAGUGGACUGUCACAGGAGGUUUGAACAAGGGGACCAGUUUCCUGCUGCACCCUCCUGCCCUGCCCAUCUGGGCCUUCCUUGCCUUGUCGGUAGCAGUGGGUUGUUGUUGUUCUGAUUGUCUGUGGUUUGGUUUGGAGGUUUUCUGUGGUUUAGUUUGUUUUUUGGCCUUUCCCUUUUCCUUACAGUUUUUCACAGCAUAUGGUCCUGAUUACGUGCUGGAAAUCACGCCAAGCUGCCGGCCAGACCGCAAUGAGCCCCACCGAGUCCAGCAAAUCCUCAACUACAUCAAAGGGAAUCUGAAGCAUGUGGUCUAGUUGACAAAAAGAGAUCAAAUUUCCAGAGCCAAAGAGCAGUGCCUAUAAUGAAGACAGCGUGUUUAUGCGAGCAGUGUGUGGAAUUUGUGACUGCAGGGGAAAUUUGGAAGAAAUUACUUCCUGAAAAUUUCCAAGGGGCACCAAGUGGCAGCUGGCCUCCUAGCAUGAAGCAGGCAGGCACCCCAGAGGCCUCAACUAGACCUAGGGGAAGACAAACAUUUCCAACAUUUAAAGUGUUUAUUUUUAAAAAACACACAGAUGCCGUUUCUAAUCUUUGAAAAUUAUUUUUAGGCAAGUUGGGGAGGGGGUAUUUUUAUUUUCUUAAAGGAGACAGAUCAGAAGCUGGAGGAAAGCAUGGAGAUUUGGUUGGCAGUUGGUGGGACAGUAGGGAGAUGAGAGUCAGGGUUUGGGCCUCAGGAUCAUCCAGGUGGAACCUUGGGGGAGGGGGAUCUGGUCACAGAUGGGGAGAAAUCCACCUGUGUUGUUUUCAGGAUUACAAAUUUAUUUUGUUUUUUAAUAAAAUCUUUGCAAACCUA
This is a long non-coding RNA of Capra hircus (goat), 1108 nucleotides long. RefSeq lists it as uncharacterized. The transcript is spliced from 2 exons. The record is from RefSeq and is a predicted model, not a curated record. NCBI's taxonomy places the organism in Eukaryota, Metazoa, Chordata, Mammalia, Artiodactyla, Bovidae.